RNAcentral lists this ribosomal RNA (439 nucleotides) under uncultured bacterium. RNAcentral's name for it is "partial 16S ribosomal RNA". It matches the Rfam family "Bacterial small subunit ribosomal RNA", at positions 339 to 795 of the family's 1533-position model. The record is from RNAcentral.
CUACGGGGGGCUGCAGUGGGGAAUAUUGGGCAAUGGGCGAAAGCCUGACCCAGCAACGCCGCGUGAAGGAAGAAGGCUUUCGGGUCGUAAACUUCUAUCCCAGAUGAAGAUAAUGACGGUAAUCUGGAAGGAAGCCCCGGCUAACUACGUGCCAGCAGCCGCGGUAAUACGUAGGGGGCAAGCGUUGUCCGGAAUGAUUGGGCGUAAAGGGCGCGUAGGCGGCCUUUUAAGUCCGAUGUGAAAGUCCUGCUUUUAAGGUGGGAAUUGCAUUGGAAACUGGAAGGCUUGAGUGCAGGAGAGGUAAGUGGAAUUCCCGGUGUAGCGGUGACAUGCGUAGAGAUCGGGAGGAACACCAGUGGCGAAGGCGACUUACUGGACUGUAACUGACGCUGAGGCGCGAAAGUGUGGGGAGCAAACAGGAUUAGAUACCCGGGUAGUC